ACUCCUACGGGAGGCAGCAGUGGGGAAUAUUGGACAAUGGGGGGAACCCGUGAUCCAGCCAUGCCGCGUGUGUGAAGAAGGCCUUAUGGUUGUAAAGCACUUUAAGCGAGGAGGAGGCUCUUUUGGUUAAUACCCAAGAUGAGUGGACGUUACUCGCAGAAUAAGCACCGGCUAACUCUGUGCCAGCAGCCGCGGUAAUACAGAGGGUGCGAGCGUUAAUCGGAUUUACUGGGCGUAAAGCGUGCGUAGGCGGCUUUUUAAGUCGGAUGUGAAAUCCCCGAGCUUAACUUGGGAAUUGCAUUCGAUACUGGGGAGCUAGAGUAUGGGAGAGGAUGGUAGAAUUCCAGGUGUAGCGGUGAAAUGCGUAGAGAUCUGGAGGAAUACCGAUGGCGAAGGCAGCCAUCUGGCCUAAUACUGACGCUGAGGUACGAAAGCAUGGGGGAGCAAACAGGAUUAGAUACCCUGGUAGGAUAGCG
This 476-nucleotide ribosomal RNA is filed under the name uncultured bacterium. RNAcentral's name for it is "bacterial SSU rRNA". It matches the Rfam family "Bacterial small subunit ribosomal RNA", at positions 335 to 801 of the family's 1533-position model. The record is from RNAcentral.